AUAAAUGAGCAGUGAUGGUGCAAUUGGCUGUUUUCUCUUGAAUAUAAUGGUAAGAGCUGCAGGAGUGCCAGGUGUGUGUUCCAGUCCCCAGCAUUUGGUUUGCACAUGUCCUGGUCAGACACAGGUCCAACUUCCUCAGUCCUUAACCCAAUAGAGGGAGAAUUAAGGACUGGCAGUGUUAAGGUGACUGGUGUGACAGGGGUGAAACUGGGAAAACAUUGGGGAAUUCCUCAGUUUCCCUAUUUGGCAAACUCACCCAAACCUGUGCUAGGAAGAGAUGGACUGGAAAAGUUGAGGCAGAAAUGAAAUGGAAAACUGGGGAUAUUGUAACUGUAAUUGCUGAAACUAAAUGUGUCAAAGCAGCAGCUCUUGUUGUGCAGGGAAUAACUCCUGUCAGCAGCAAGGUCCCGACUGAAGUGGCAGCUGCAGUUGUUCCUGUGGUGUGGGCCAGUGGAACUGCAGGAGAGUGGGAGAGGGCAGAACCUGUAGGUGUUACCCCUAAUGUGGGAUCUCUCCUGGUAAGGCAAACCCAGUACCCUUUAAAAUCAGAAUGCCAGCUUGGAUUGGUUGCAGUAACAGCUAAAUUGGCUCAUCCUGGUUUGCUUGUAGGACGUGAAUGCCAGAACCUGCCAAGAAACCAAUGUCCAAGAUGAUUGAUGAGUGCAGGACCUGAGAGAACCACCUUGAAUGACAACCUUAGGUUUAAAAGAUGGCUGUUGCUUUUGAAGGAGAAAAUCUGGAAAGCAGGAAGGAAGAAAAGCAGCCCCCUGACUCCUCCCUGAGCCCCAGACAGCCCAUGAACUGCCUUCCUGGGAAUGGUGGGACGGGGUGGACUCUGGAUUGCUCCCUCUGGAUGUGUGGCUCUCCCCUGCAGGAACUGCAGGAACUCCUGGUGCCGCCUGGGCCGAUGGAUUGGACGCCCCAGCCCCUCCGUUCCUGCCCAGCCCCUGGGUCCGUGUCCAGUGGUGGCACUGCCAGCCCUGCAGUGGGAUGUAGCCUGGAAAGUGCACAGAGCUGAGCCAAGGGAUUGAAAGGGACCAAGCAAGGGAGGUGAAGAAAGAAGGGAAGUGAGGCAUGAGCCAAGCAGCAGCAAGUUGCUGUGU
Long non-coding RNA from Pseudopipra pipra, 1103 nucleotides. RefSeq lists it as uncharacterized. The record is from RefSeq and is a predicted model, not a curated record. The transcript has 3 exons. NCBI's taxonomy places the organism in Eukaryota, Metazoa, Chordata, Aves, Passeriformes, Pipridae.